AGGACGAACGCUGGCGGCGUGCUUAACACAUGCAAGUCGAGCGGAAAGGCCCUUCGGGGUACUCGAGCGGCGAACGGGUGAGUAACACGUGAGUAAUCUGCCCCUAGCUCUGGGAUAGCUCCGGGAAACCGGGAUUAAUACUGGAUACGACCACCUUAGACAUCUUUUGUGGUGGAAAGAAUUUCGGCUAGGGAUGAGCUCGCGGCCUAUCAGCUUGUUGGUGGGGUAACGGCCUACCAAGGCGACGACGGGUAGCCGGCCUGAGAGGGCGACCGGCCACACUGGGACUGAGACACGGCCCAGACUCCUACGGGAGGCAGCAGUGGGGAAUAUUGCGCAAUGGGCGAAAGCCUGACGCAGCGACGCCGCGUGGGGGAUGAAGGCCUUCGGGUUGUAAACCCCUUUCAGCAGGGACGAAGCGAAAGUGACGGUACCUGCAGAAGAAGCGCCGGCUAACUACGUGCCUGCAGCCGC
Molecule: ribosomal RNA, 474 nt
Filed under: uncultured bacterium
Lineage: Bacteria
Description: SSU rRNA
Rfam family: Bacterial small subunit ribosomal RNA
Source: RNAcentral